UGGGGAAUCUUGCGCAAUGGGCGAAAGCCUGACGCAGCAACGCCGCGUGGGGGACGAAGGCUCUCGGGUUGUAAACCCCUUUCAGGAGGGACGAAAUUGACGGUACCUCCAGAAGAAGCCCCGGCCAACUACGUGCCAGCAGCCGCGGUAACACGUAGGGGGCGAGCGUUGUCCGGAUUUAUUGGGCGUAAAGAGCUCGUAGGUGGCUCGGUAAGUCGGGUGUGAAAUUUCGAGGCUCAACCUCGAGACGCCACCUGAUACUGCUGUGGCUAGAGUCCGGUAGGGGAGCGUGGAAUUCCUGGUGUAGCGGUGAAAUGCGCAGAUAUCAGGAGGAACACCAGCGGCGAAGGCGGCGCUCUGGGCCGGUACUGACACUGAGGAGCGAAAGCGUGGGGAUCAAACAG
RNAcentral lists this ribosomal RNA (404 nucleotides) under uncultured bacterium. RNAcentral's name for it is "bacterial SSU rRNA". It matches the Rfam family "Bacterial small subunit ribosomal RNA", at positions 355 to 775 of the family's 1533-position model. The record is from RNAcentral.